AUGCAAGUCGAACGAGCGAGAGAGAGCUUGCUUUCUCGAGCGAGUGGCGAACGGGUGAGUAACGCGUGAGGAACCUGCCUCAAAGAGGGGGACAACAGUUGGAAACGACUGCUAAUACCGCAUAAGCCCACGGUGCCGCAUGGCACAGAGGGAAAAGGAGCAAUCCGCUUUGAGAUGGCCUCGCGUCCGAUUAGCUAGUUGGUGAGGUAACGGCCCACCAAGGCGACGAUCGGUAGCCGGACUGAGAGGUUGAACGGCCACAUUGGGACUGAGACACGGCCCAGACUCCUACGGGAGGCAGCAGUGGGGAAUAUUGCACAAUGGGGGAAACCCUGAUGCAGCGACGCCGCGUGGAGGAAGAAGGUCUUCGGAUUGUAAACUCCUGUUGUUGGGGAAGAUAAUGACGGUACCCAACAAGGAAGUGACGGCUAACUACGUGCCAGCAGCCGCGGUAAAACGUAGGUCACAAGCGUUGUCCGGAAUUACUGGGUGUAAAGGGAGCGCAGGCGGGAAGACAAGUUGGAAGUGAAAUCUAUGGGCUCAACCCAUAAACUGCUUUCAAAACUGUUUUUCUUGAGUAGUGCAGAGGUAGGCGGAAUUCCCGGUGUAGCGGUGGAAUGCGUAGAUAUCGGGAGGAACACCAGUGGCGAAGGCGGCCUACUGGGCACCAACUGACGCUGAGGCUCGAAAGUGUGGGUAGCAAACAGGAUUAGAUACCCUGGUAGUCCACACCGUAAACGAUGAUUACUAGGUGUUGGAGGAUUGACCCCUUCAGUGCCGCAGUUAACACAAUAAGUAAUCCACCUGGGGAGUACGACCGCAAGGUUGAAACUCAAAGGAAUUGACGGGGGCCCGCACAAGCAGUGGAGUAUGUGGUUUAAUU
Molecule: ribosomal RNA, 883 nt
Filed under: uncultured bacterium
Lineage: Bacteria
Description: bacterial SSU rRNA
Rfam family: Bacterial small subunit ribosomal RNA
Source: RNAcentral